UGACAUUGACAGUGUCCUGAGGUUUCGUCAUGAGGGCUACCCAGUGAAUAAUCUGUGCAGUGUGAUACGGCUGGGUGUACAGGUUACUUCACAGCUGCCU
Long non-coding RNA from Ornithodoros turicata, 100 nucleotides. RefSeq lists it as uncharacterized. Lineage: Eukaryota; Metazoa; Arthropoda; Arachnida; Ixodida; Argasidae. The transcript is spliced from 3 exons. The record is from RefSeq and is a predicted model, not a curated record.